GAUGAACGCUAGCUACAGGCUUAACACAUGCAAGUCGAGGGGCAGCGCAGUGUAGCAAUACAUGGGCGGCGACCGGCGCACGGGUGCGUAACGCGUAUCCAACCUUCCCGUUACUCUUGGAUAGCCUUCCGAAAGGGAGAUUAAUACAAGAUGGUAUUCAAAUUCCGCAUGUUAUUUGAAUUAAAGAUUAAUCGGUAACGGAUGGGGAUGCGUGACAUUAGAUAGUAGGCGGGGUAACGGCCCACCUAGUCUACGAUGUCUAGGGGUUCUGAGAGGAAGGUCCCCCACACUGGAACUGAGACACGGUCCAGACUCCUACGGGAGGCAGCAGUGAGGAAUAUUGGUCAAUGGUCGGAAGACUGAACCAGCCAAGUAGCGUGAAGGAUGAAGGUUCUAUGGAUUGUAAACUUCUUUAUACGGGAUAAAACCUCCCACGUGUGGGAGCUUGUAUGUACCGUAUGAAUAAGCAUCGGCUAACUCCGUG
Molecule: ribosomal RNA, 484 nt
Filed under: uncultured bacterium
Lineage: Bacteria
Description: bacterial SSU rRNA
Rfam family: Bacterial small subunit ribosomal RNA
Source: RNAcentral